UGGAUUUUUGGCGCGGCCGUCCGGCGGGGCUCUCUUUUACGGGGGCCGUUUGUCUGGUCUUCGGCCGCUGCCAUUGUUUGUGGGCUGCUAGGCUGGCAUUAGGUUGUCGGCUCUUGGGGCGCCGAUCGUUUACUGUGAAAAAA
Molecule: ribosomal RNA, 143 nt
Filed under: Himanthalia elongata
Lineage: Eukaryota; Phaeophyceae; Fucales; Himanthaliaceae
Description: partial 18S ribosomal RNA
Source: RNAcentral